This 448-nucleotide ribosomal RNA is filed under the name Cathaica pulveratricula. RNAcentral's name for it is "partial large subunit ribosomal RNA". The record is from RNAcentral. Lineage: Eukaryota; Metazoa; Mollusca; Gastropoda; Stylommatophora; Camaenidae.
AAAAACAUAACUACAUGUAUAUGUAUGUAGCUAUUUCUGCUCAAUGAGAUAAUUAAAUAGCCGCAGUAAUUUGACUGUGCAAAGGUAGCAUAAUCAGUUGGCUUAUAAUUGAAGUCUAGUAUGAAUGAAUUUGUGGGGGUUUACUGUAUCUUAGUUGUAUUUUAAAAUUACUAAAUAAGUGAAAAUUCUUAUAGUUUAAUAAUAGACGAGAAGACCCUAGAAAUUUUUAGAAUUAUAUAGAUGGUAUAUAAAAAGUUUUUGUUGGGGCGACAAAGUAGCAAAGAACCUACUUUAAUUAAUUUGUUUAUAAUGGUAAGUUUAAAUAAAUUACUCUAGGGAUAACAGCAUAAUAUUAUAAAGUUUGUGACCUCGAUGUUGGACUAGGAAAUAAUAGCUCAAAAAGCUAAUUAUAGUGCUCUGUUCGAGCAAAUAAACCUACGUGAUCUGA